Molecule: ribosomal RNA, 460 nt
Filed under: uncultured bacterium
Lineage: Bacteria
Description: partial 16S ribosomal RNA
Rfam family: Bacterial small subunit ribosomal RNA
Source: RNAcentral
CCUACGGGUGGCAGCAGUGAGGAAUAUUGGUCAAUGGCCGAGAGGCUGAACCAGCCAAGUCGCGUGAGGGAAGACGGCCCUACGGGUUGUAAACCUCUUUUGUCGGGGAGCAAAGCGAGUCACGUGUGACUCAUUGAGAGUACCCGAAGAAAAAGCAUCGGCUAACUCCGUGCCAGCAGCCGCGGUAAUACGGAGGAUGCGAGCGUUAUCCGGAUUUAUUGGGUUUAAAGGGUGCGCAGGCGGAGGUGCAAGUCAGCGGUCAAAUUGCGGGGCUCAACCGCGGAACUGCAUUUGAAACUGUUUUUCUUGAGUACCGGAGAGGUCAUCGGAAUUCCUUGUGUAGCGGUGAAAUGCGUAGAUAUAAGGAAGAACACCAGUGGCGAAGGCGGAUGACUGGACGGCAACUGACGGUGAGGCGCGAAAGCGUGGGGAGCAAACAGGAUUAGAUACCCCUGUAGUC